This is a long non-coding RNA of Clupea harengus (Atlantic herring), 121 nucleotides long. RefSeq lists it as uncharacterized. The transcript is spliced from 2 exons. The record is from RefSeq and is a predicted model, not a curated record. NCBI's taxonomy places the organism in Eukaryota, Metazoa, Chordata, Actinopteri, Clupeiformes, Clupeidae.
UCUAUUGGUUGGUUUGGUGGUUACAGGCUGCAUUUUCGUGCCUUGCUCAGUAUGUGUUUUGCUUGGCAACGAGAGAGCUACAUUCUGCAUACUGGAAGAGAAAGUAAAGUGAUUAAAAGAA